Ornithorhynchus anatinus (platypus) is the source of this 74-nucleotide non-coding RNA. The record is from Rfam. Lineage: Eukaryota; Metazoa; Chordata; Mammalia; Monotremata; Ornithorhynchidae.
CGGUGUGAGGAGCUCACACGUCUUGCAGAGUGAUGUCGGAAAGCGAUGCAAUGCGUCUGAGCUCCGUACACAGU